GCAAAUCAAACUUUCAAUUUUUAAGUGAAACACGUCAUCCUUAUUGCUCCUAUGUUACCUCACCUUUCCCAUUCCCCACCGUUAACAAAAAUACAAGUGUUGACCAUCAAAAACACCCUAGCCAGCCAUACACCCCCAUUUCCCCAUUUUAUUCUUUUUCUUUCUCCUCUCCACCCUUCUUUUCUCUCUUUUGACAACCACCACCACCACCCUUUUUCUUUUCUCCACCGAAAGCUUAUUUGCACCACCAUAUCACCACCGCCCACAACCAACCUCUACUUCUCUUUUCCUUUUGCUUCCCCUCUCCUCUUCCACCAUAUGUCGCAUUGGUCUUUGCUGCAACCACCGUGGGCCAUCUCUUCCUCCACCAUUUUCCUUUUUCUUCACUCUUUUCUCUUUUCUUUCAAUUGAAAGUGACUGAACCCACUUCCCUACUUGUAUUUUCGCACCACCAUCGAACUACCACACCCUAACGCCAUCGCCGCCACUGCCACCGAUACUGAUUUCUUCUUCUUUUUAUUUCUUUU
RNAcentral lists this long non-coding RNA (527 nucleotides) under Gossypium raimondii (Peruvian cotton). Its description in RNAcentral is "long non-coding RNA (GRAI_LNC003869)". The record is from RNAcentral. Lineage: Eukaryota; Viridiplantae; Streptophyta; Magnoliopsida; Malvales; Malvaceae.